Pseudomonas sp. EGD-AK9 is the source of this 87-nucleotide non-coding RNA. The record is from Rfam. NCBI's taxonomy places the organism in Bacteria, Pseudomonadati, Pseudomonadota, Gammaproteobacteria, Pseudomonadales, Pseudomonadaceae.
CGGGCGGUCUUGUUUAUUUGCCCGGCUGUGUUAGGGUCGGCCUAAGGUUUCGCAAAACCCCGCCUUCGGGCGGGGUUUUGCUUUUUC